RNAcentral lists this long non-coding RNA (908 nucleotides) under Homo sapiens (human). RNAcentral's name for it is "long non-coding RNA NONHSAT165804.1". Lineage: Eukaryota; Metazoa; Chordata; Mammalia; Primates; Hominidae. The record is from RNAcentral.
UGCCAAACCCUCUGGCCCUAACCUAUCAUGUAUGAAAGGUGAAAUAGGAGCAUACUCUGAUUUCACAGUUUUAACCAUCAUCCUGUGACCCCAAAAGUCCAUCACAGGUCCUCGUGUAGGACGCCCAACAUCUGGACGCACACAGCAUGACUACUAGUGCUGAGCAGCCACCCACAGAGGGAAGUGAGGAGAAAUCUGAGAGUUUUACUUGGGCUGACAUUGAGGGCAUAUGCACAAAGACAUUAAAUGUAAAAGAAAUGGCCUGUGCUGAGCAACAGAGAAAGCUGUAUCAGAGAUAAAACCAAACAGGAAGCUUCCUAUGACACAGCUCCAGUGGAAGAAGAGAAAGCACCACCUCAUUACUGCAAGGUGGAAACAGAAGUCCAAGAGAGAUUCUUUGUUACCACUUGACAUGGAUGGGAAUCUAGGUACUCCCUGAUGGAGAGAAGGAGGACUGCCUCAUUAUGCUCACCAUGUAACCUACAAUAGCACCAUGGAAGGGGGAUGUGGACGUCUGUUAUCACUGGGUGGUUGUGAAAGCCCUGACUCUAUUGGCUUCUUUGGACAUAAUGCCAGUGGGGAGGGGGAAGAAUGCCUCAUUAAUGCCAUCUGUGGGUAGAAAUCCAGGCUACCCACUUGAAUUACCUCACAGGAUUGCUGGUCAAAGACACUCGGAGAGACUCCAGGCAUGUGACAAGUCUCUCAUCUGCAGACCCCAUUUUCAGCUCAUGAAUGAAUUCCUGAGGUUCACCAUCCAACGGCAGGAAAUGAAUUGUGUAAGUUCAAAAGAAGAUCAGGUGAAGUGGUACGAAAUUCGGUGUUUUUCAUGUUUUUUGUUUUUAUUAAUUUACUAUAAUGUUAUUCAAAACAACAUUCCCAAUAAAGCAAAACAAAUUAGCACUGUAAAG